This 553-nucleotide ribosomal RNA is filed under the name Pseudophanerotoma sp. RK116. Its description in RNAcentral is "eukaryotic LSU rRNA". It matches the Rfam family "Eukaryotic large subunit ribosomal RNA", at positions 424 to 765 of the family's 3401-position model. The record is from RNAcentral. Lineage: Eukaryota; Metazoa; Arthropoda; Insecta; Hymenoptera; Braconidae.
GGAGAUUCAUCGUCAAAGUAUUAAGGUAUUACGCAUGUUAUGAUAUGACAAAUAAUCCUUGUGGUUAGUAUGUUGUACAUUCUUGUGCUAUUUUGCUUAGUAUGUCGGCGUGCACUUCUCCUCUAGUAGAACAUCGCGACCCGUUGGAUGUUGAUCUAUGACCUAAAUGGUUGACUUUGACUUUGCUUGCCUUGUCGGAGACCCUUAGUAUUCUGAUCAUCUGUUUGACGGUACUCAUAUGGUAAAAAGUCGCUAUUUUUGCGUUAAAUCCCUUGCAAGUGUGGUUAAUGUUUGGUAGUAUGGAUCUGAUGCCAUCACUGAUAUUUACCCACUGUUAGCAUGUGGUGUUCUUUAACUGACUUAAUACCGGUCAGCGAUGCUACUGCUUUGGGUACUUUCAGGACCCGUCUUGAAACACGGACCAAGGAGUCUAACAUGUGCGCAAGUCAUUGGGACUUUUUAAAUAAACCUAAAGGCAUAAUGAAAGUAAAGAUUGUUGUAUGAUAAUUAAAGGAAGAUGGGGUACGUUACGAUAUAGUCCCGCAUUCCCGGG